UACAGAGGGGGCAAGCGUUGUUCGGAAUUACUGGGCGUAAAGCGUGCGCAGGCGGUUUUGUAAGUCUGUCGUGAAAUCCCCGGGCUUAACCUGGGAAUGGCGAUGGAGACUGCAAGGCUAGAGUUUGGCAGAGGGGGGUAGAAUUCCACGUGUAGCAGUGAAAUGCGUAGAGAUGUGGAGGAACACCGAUGGCGAAGGCAGCCCCCUGGGUCAAAACUGACGCUCAUGCACGAAAGCGUGGGGAGCAAACAGG
RNAcentral lists this ribosomal RNA (253 nucleotides) under uncultured bacterium. RNAcentral describes it as "partial 16S ribosomal RNA". It matches the Rfam family "Bacterial small subunit ribosomal RNA", at positions 524 to 776 of the family's 1533-position model. The record is from RNAcentral.